RNAcentral lists this ribosomal RNA (790 nucleotides) under uncultured Lachnospiraceae bacterium. RNAcentral's name for it is "bacterial SSU rRNA". It matches the Rfam family "Bacterial small subunit ribosomal RNA", at positions 28 to 814 of the family's 1533-position model. Lineage: Bacteria; Bacillati; Bacillota; Clostridia; Lachnospirales; Lachnospiraceae. The record is from RNAcentral.
GACGAACGCUGGCGGCGUGCUUAACACAUGCAAGUCGAACGCUGAUGGCCCAGCUUGCUGGGUUGGAUGAGUGGCGAACGGGUGAGUAACACGUGAGUAACCUGCCCUCUUCUUUGGGAUAACGGUCGGAAACGGCUGCUAAUACCGGGUAUUCACUGUCCUUCGCAUGGGGGGUGGUGGAAAGGUUUUUUCUGGUGGGGGAUGGGCUCGCGGCCUAUCAGCUUGUUGGUGGGGUGAUGGCUUACCAAGGCUUUGACGGGUAACCGGCCUGAGAGGGUGACCGGUCACAUUGGGACUGAGAUACGGCCCAGACUCCUACGGGAGGCAGCAGUGGGGAAUAUUGCACAAUGGGCGAAAGCCUGAUGCAGCGACGCCGCGUGAGGGAUGGAGGCCUUCGGGUUGUAAACCUCUUUCGCUCAUGGUCAAGCCGCAACUCAAGGUUGUGGUGAGGGUAGUGGGUAAAGAAGCACCGGCUAACUACGUGCCAGCAGCCGCGGUAAUACGUAGGGUGCGAGCGUUGUCCGGAAUUAUUGGGCGUAAAGGGCUUGUAGGCGGUUUGUCGCGUCUGCCGUGAAAUCCUCUGGCUUAACUGGGGGCGUGCGGUGGGUACGGGCAGGCUUGAGUGCGGUAGGGGAGACUGGAACUCCUGGUGUAGCGGUGGAAUGCGCACAUAUCAAGAAAAACACCGGUGGCGAAGGCCGGUCUCUGGGCGGUUACUGACUGUGAGGGAGCGAAAGCGUGGGAGCGGAACAGAAUAGAUACCUUGGUAUCUCAAGGGCGAAUUCUACUU